UAGUCCACGCCGUAAACGAUGUCUACUAGCCGUUGGGGUACUUGAGACCUUAGUGGCGCAGCUAACGCACUAAGUAGACCGCCUGGGGAGUACGGCCGCAAGGUUAAAACUCAAAUGAAUUGACGGGGGCCCGCACAAGCGGUGGAGCAUGUGGUUUAAUUCGAUGCAACGCGAAGAACCUUACCAGGUCUUGACAUCCAGAGAACUUUCCAGAGAUGGAUUGGUGCCUUCGGGAGCUCUGUGACAGGUGCUGCAUGGCUGUCGUCAGCUCGUGUCGUGAGAUGUUGGGUUAAGUCCCGUAACGAGCGCAACCCUUGUCCUUAGUUGCCAGCGCGUAAUGGCGGGAACUCUAAGGAGACUGCCGGUGACAAACCGGAGGAAGGUGGGGAUGAUGUCAAGUCAUCAUGGCCCUUAUGGGCUGGGCUACACACAUGCUACAAUGGUGGUUACAGUAGGACGCAAUGGAGCAAUCCGGAGCAAAUCCUCAAAGAUCAUCU
Molecule: ribosomal RNA, 497 nt
Filed under: uncultured bacterium
Lineage: Bacteria
Description: bacterial SSU rRNA
Rfam family: Bacterial small subunit ribosomal RNA
Source: RNAcentral